GAGUUUGAUCGUGGCUCAGAUUGAACGCUGGCGGCAUGCCUUACACAUGCAAGUCGAACGGCAGCACGGGAGCUUGCUCCUGGUGGCGAGUGGCGAACGGGUGAGUAAUGCAUCGGAACGUAUCCUGGAGUGGGGGAUAACGUAGCGAAGUUAACGCUAAUACCGCAUAUUCUGUGAGCAGGAAAGACGGGGGACCGUUCGGGCCGUCGCGCUCUUGGAGCGGCCGGAUGUCGGA
RNAcentral lists this ribosomal RNA (235 nucleotides) under bacterium enrichment culture clone ALO1_GLFRUDD03GN6QH. RNAcentral describes it as "partial 16S ribosomal RNA". It matches the Rfam family "Bacterial small subunit ribosomal RNA", at positions 9 to 240 of the family's 1533-position model. The record is from RNAcentral.